CACACCGUAAACGUUGGGCGCUAGGUGUGGGACUCAUUCCACGAGUUCCGUGCCGCAGCUAACGCAUUAAGCGCCCCGCCUGGGGAGUACGGCCGCAAGGCUAAAACUCAAAGGAAUUGACGGGGGCCCGCACAAGCGGCGGAGCAUGCGGAUUAAUUCGAUGCAACGCGAAGAACCUUACCUAGGUUUGACAUAUGUGAGAAGCCUCUAGAGAUAGAGGUCUCUUUGGACACUCAUAUACAGGUGG
Molecule: ribosomal RNA, 247 nt
Filed under: uncultured Marmoricola sp.
Lineage: Bacteria; Bacillati; Actinomycetota; Actinomycetes; Propionibacteriales; Nocardioidaceae
Description: partial 16S ribosomal RNA
Rfam family: Bacterial small subunit ribosomal RNA
Source: RNAcentral